Molecule: ribosomal RNA, 1195 nt
Filed under: uncultured bacterium
Lineage: Bacteria
Description: bacterial SSU rRNA
Rfam family: Bacterial small subunit ribosomal RNA
Source: RNAcentral
GGGGGGUAAGAGAAUGGCGCGAAGCCUGAUCCCCCAUGCCGCGGGUGUGAAGAAGGUCUUCGGAUUGUAAAGAAUUUUAAGUUGGGAGGAAGGGUUGUAAAUUAAUACUCUGCAUUUUUGACGUUACCGACAGAAUAAGCACCGGUUAACUCUGUGCCAGCAGCCGCGGUAAUACAGAGGGCGCAAGCGUUAAUCGGAAUUACUGGGCGUAAAGCGCGCGUAGGUGGUUUGUUAAGUUGGAUGUGAAAUCCCCGGGCUCAACCUGGGAACUGCAUUCAAAACUGACUGACUAGAGUAUGGUAGAGGGUGGUGGAAUUUCCUGUGUAGCGGUGAAAUGCGUAAAUAUAGGAAGGAACACCAGUGGCGAAGGCGACCACCUGGACUAAUACUGACACUGAGGUGCGAAAGCGUGGGGAGCAAACAGGAUUAAAUACCCUGGUAGUCCACGCCGUAAACGAUGUCAACUAGCCGUUGGAAGCCUUGAGUUUUUAGUGGCGCACCUAACGCAUUAAGUUGACCGCCUGGGGAGUACGGCCGCAAGGUUAAAACUCAAAUGAAUUGACGGGGGCCCGCACAAGCGGUGGAGCAUGUGUUUUAAUUCGAAGCAACGCGAAAAACCUUACCAGGCCUUGACAUCCAAUGAACUUUCUAAAGAUAGAUUGGUGCCUUCGGGAGCAUUGAGACAGGUGCUGCAUGGCUGUCGUCAGCUCGUGUCGUGAGAUGUUGGGUUAAGUCCCGUAACGAGCGCAACCCUUGUCCUUAGUUACCAGCACGUUAUGGUGGGCACUCUAAGGAGACUGCCGGUGACAAACCGGAGGAAGGUGGGGGAUGACGUCAAGUCAUCAUGGCCCCUUACGGCUCUGGGCUACACACGUGCUACAAUGCUCGGUACAGAGGGUCGCCAAGCCGCGAGGUGUAGCUAAUCCCAUAAACCGAUCGUAGUCCGGAUCGCAGUCUGCAACUCGACUGCGUGAAGUCGGGAUCGCUAGUAUCGCGAAUCAGAUGUCGCGGUGAAUACGGUCCCGGGUCUUGUACACACCGAAUCUCUAGAGGAUCCCGGUACCGAGCUCGGAUCGUAUCAUGUCAUAGCUGUUCUGUGGGAAUGUAUGCGUCCAUCCACACAACACAGGCGAGCAUAAGGGGUAGCCUGGGGGCUAUGGAGUACAAUCCAUAAUGGCGGGAGUCACUGUGCGCG